CGAGCAACUUCAGCGCCUCUCUGCCCUAACAACUCUUUGUUUAGAUGGUUUUGGAGUGAAAUCAUUGCCCGAUUGUUUUGGGAAGCUUUCGUCACUUGAACAACUUAGGCUCUGGGAUUGUGAAAAGCUAGAGAAUUUACCCCAAUCUAUGAGAAGCCUCACCAGACUAAGAAGCCUGCAGAGUCACGGGUGCCCCCUUCUAAAGGAAAGAUGUAAACCAGAGAGCAGCAGUAGCAGCACCACCGACCCCAAUUCUGAGUGGUCGAAGAUCUCCGGCAUUCCCCAAAUCCGGAUACUGUAAUUGUUUAGCAGCAAAUCAGAGGCUAAUCCCCAUUUGAAGCUCAUAAAUAACGUCAGUUUUCCCAAUUAAAGCUACUAGCCUAACUUCUGCUCAGUCAUUGAUGCGAACUAUUUUUCCUUCAUCCUGUGCGUUUCUGCUUUCUAGGCGGUUUUGAGUCUAGCUUGAGAGUCUACUCUCAGAUUGAUAAAUUGUGGAAGAAUAUAUGAGGCUGACAACGACAGAUCAUUCUGGCUAGCUGCAGGGAUUCUCAUGCAUGAGGUUAAAUAACAGAGCUAUGGAUGAGCAAUACAUGGGAAAGCCACUGGUCGGAUUUUUAAGUUGUGAUGACAACUGCUGCAAAUGAGGCUUGUCAGCCCUUUUAAA
This is a non-coding RNA of Coffea arabica (coffee), 664 nucleotides long. NCBI's taxonomy places the organism in Eukaryota, Viridiplantae, Streptophyta, Magnoliopsida, Gentianales, Rubiaceae. The record is from RefSeq and is a predicted model, not a curated record.